UACGUAGGGACCAAGCGUUGUUCGGAUUUACUGGGCGUAAAGGGCGCGUAGGCGGCUUGACAAGUCACUUGUGAAAUCUCCGGGCUUAACUCGGAACGGCCAAGUGAAACUGUCAUGCUAGAGUGCAGAAGGGGCAAUCGGAAUUCUUGGUGUAGCGGUGAAAUGCGUAGAUAUCAAGAGGAACACCAAUUGCGAAGGCAGCUCGCUGGGGCGUUACUGACGCUGAGACGCGAAAGCGUGGGGAGCAAACAGG
RNAcentral lists this ribosomal RNA (253 nucleotides) under uncultured bacterium. RNAcentral's name for it is "partial 16S ribosomal RNA". It matches the Rfam family "Bacterial small subunit ribosomal RNA", at positions 524 to 776 of the family's 1533-position model. The record is from RNAcentral.